Molecule: ribosomal RNA, 491 nt
Filed under: uncultured bacterium
Lineage: Bacteria
Description: SSU rRNA
Rfam family: Bacterial small subunit ribosomal RNA
Source: RNAcentral
GGGACGAACGCUGGCGGCGUGCCUAACACAUGCAAGUCGAACGCGCUCCAUUCGGUAGCAAUACUGAUGAAGAGCGAGUGGCGAACGGGUGAGUAGCACGUGAGCAACCUGCCCCGAAGACUGGGACAACACCGGGAAACCGGUGCUAAUACCGGAUAUCCCUAUUGGAUCGCAUGAUCCGAUAAGGAAAUGUUUUUCGCUUCGGGAGGGGCUCGCGGCCUAUCAGCUAGUUGGUGGGGUAACGGCCCACCAAGGCAUCGACGGGUAGCUGGUCUGAGAGGACGAUCAGCCACACUGGGACUGAGACACGGCCCAGACUCCUACGGGAGGCAGCAGUGGGGAAUCUUGCGCAAUGGGCGAAAGCCUGACGCAGCAACGCCGCGUGGAGGACGAAGGCUUUCUGAGUUGUAAACUCCUUUCAGCAGGGACGAUUGUGACGGUACCUGCAGAGAAGCACCGGCCAACUACGUGCCAGCAGCCGCGGUAAUCUA